UUGAUCGGAGCAUAAUUAUGCGAUAAUAAUGUUGGUUUGCCAAAGCAAGGAAAGAAAUAUGAGCAAAAGGAAGGAGAUAUGUGCAAAUAAUGGAGAAGUGUGGAAUCUUGAUGAGUCAAGGAAGCAUACGGCAACAUGAAGAAAAAGAUAUUCAACAAUUAAUUCUCUUGGCUGCUCUUAUUGGAUAGAAGGAUGUCAUUGAAUCCAAAAUCAAUCAGAACAUUAAUAAAGGAGCCUUCCGUGGAAGCCAAGGAAUUAGAGUCCCAAAAGGAAAGAAGAAAAGAGUUACAAACUGAAUAAAAUCUCUCCUUGGACGUUCAAGAAACCUACCAUCACACAUACGGAAGAGGAGAGACGCACAAGAGCUGGAAAAGAAGAAGAAUUACAACCAUCACCGAAAACGAUCGAUCGCUGCCUGCCGACGAUCGAUCGCCAAUCAGCUUUUUCCUAUUUCUUGGUGUAUGCUUACUCGUAGAACUGCUCAAGGCAAUCUUACCCCCUUGGAUUCAGAGAUAGAACGCACUUGCAAGUCGAAUAGGAAGCAAACGAAGGGAACUAGUUUGCCAAUUCACGACACAACGGCGGGUUCUACUUCUUCACAAGGGGAGGAGGACGAGAAAACACCACCAAACUCACCUGCACAUUCAACUCACGAGGACAAAGAGGAACCCCCAAGACGCGACAUGGCACUGAAGGAUGCUUUUGUUCCUACAGCUUCGGAAUCCCCCUCAUGCAUAGCUUACACACCACCGGGCAAUCAAGCCUUCUCCAUUCCUGUGCAGCUCCUGAACUCACUGCCUAA
Molecule: long non-coding RNA, 802 nt
Organism: Rosa rugosa (rugosa rose)
Lineage: Eukaryota; Viridiplantae; Streptophyta; Magnoliopsida; Rosales; Rosaceae
Exons: 3
Source: RefSeq, a predicted model, not a curated record